GACGAACGCUGGCGGCGUGCCUAAUACAUGCAAGUAGAACGCUGAAGGAGGAGCUUGCUCUUCUGGAUGAGUUGCGAACGGGUGAGUAACGCGUAGGUAACCUGCCUGGUAGCGGGGGAUAACUAUUGGAAACGAUAGCUAAUACCGCAUAAGAGUAGAUGUUGCAUGACAUUUACUUAAAAGGUGCACUUGCAUCACUACCAGAUGGACCUGCGUUGUAUUAGCUAGUUGGUGGGGUAACGGCUUACCAAGGCGACGAUACAUAGCCGACCUGAGAGGGUGAUCGGCCACACUGGGACUGAGACACGGCCCAGACUCCUACGGGAGGCAGCAGUAGGGAAUCUUCGGCAAUGGACGGAAGUCUGACCGAGCAACGCCGCGUGAGUGAAGAAGGUUUUCGGAUCGUAAAGCUCUGUUGUAAGAGAAGAACGAGUGUGAGAGUGGAAAGUUCACACUGUGACGGUAUCUGACCAGAAAGGGACGGCUAACUACGUG
RNAcentral lists this ribosomal RNA (495 nucleotides) under uncultured bacterium. RNAcentral's name for it is "partial 16S ribosomal RNA". It matches the Rfam family "Bacterial small subunit ribosomal RNA", at positions 28 to 507 of the family's 1533-position model. The record is from RNAcentral.